RNAcentral lists this ribosomal RNA (474 nucleotides) under uncultured bacterium. RNAcentral describes it as "partial 16S ribosomal RNA". It matches the Rfam family "Bacterial small subunit ribosomal RNA", at positions 28 to 507 of the family's 1533-position model. The record is from RNAcentral.
GAUGAACGCUAGCGGCAGGCCUAACACAUGCAAGUCGAGGGAGGAGCCUUCGGGCUUCGACCGGCGUACGGGUGCGUAACGCGUAUACAAUCUGCCUUUCACAUAGGGAUAGCCCGAAGAAAUUUGGAUUAAUACCUAAUGGUAUAUAGAUGUGGCAUCACCUUUAUAUUAAAGCUGAGGCGGUGAAAGAUGAGUAUGCGUUCUAUUAGCUAGUUGGAGAGGUAACGGCUCCCCAAGGCGACGAUAGAUAGGGGUUCUGAGAGGGAUAUCCCCCACACUGGAACUGAGAUACGGACCAGACUCCUACGGGAGGCAGCAGUGAGGAAUAUUGGACAAUGGUCGGAAGACUGAUCCAGCCAUGCCGCGUGCAGGAAGACGGCCUUAUGGGUUGUAAACUGCUUUUGCAGGGGAAGAAUAAGGACUACGCGUAGUUUGAUGACGGUACUCUGCGAAUAAGCAUCGGCUAACUCCGUG